GACGAACGCUGGCGGCGUUCCUAAUACAUGCAAGUAGAACGCUGAAGGAGGAGCUUGCUUCUCUGGAUGAGUUGCGAACGGGUGAGUAACGCGUAGGUAACCUGCCUGGUAGCGGGGGAUAACUAUUGGAAACGAUAGCUAAUACCGCAUAAUAGUAGAUGUUGCAUGACAUUUGCUUAAAAGGUGCAAUUGCAUCACUACCAGAUGGACCUGCGUUGUAUUAGCUAGUUGGUGAGGUAACGGCUCACCAAGGCGACGAUACAUAGCCGACCUGAGAGGGUGAUCGGCCACACUGGGACUGAGACACGGCCCAGACUCCUACGGGAGGCAGCAGUAGGGAAUCUUCGGCAAUGGACGGAAGUCUGACCGAGCAACGCCGCGUGAGUGAAGAAGGUUUUCGGAUCGUAAAGCUCUGUUGUAAGAGAAGAACGAGUGUGAGAGUGGAAAGUUCACACUGUGACGGUAUCUUACCAGAAAGGGACGGCUAACUACGUG
RNAcentral lists this ribosomal RNA (495 nucleotides) under uncultured bacterium. RNAcentral describes it as "partial 16S ribosomal RNA". It matches the Rfam family "Bacterial small subunit ribosomal RNA", at positions 28 to 507 of the family's 1533-position model. The record is from RNAcentral.